RNAcentral lists this transfer RNA (72 nucleotides) under Deltaproteobacteria bacterium. Its description in RNAcentral is "tRNA-Cys". It matches the Rfam family "tRNA". Rfam says of the family: Transfer RNA (tRNA) molecules are approximately 80 nucleotides in length. Their secondary structure includes four short double-helical elements and three loops (D, anti-codon, and T loops). Lineage: Bacteria; Pseudomonadati; Myxococcota; Myxococcia. The record is from RNAcentral.
GGUGCAGUGGCCGAAUGGUGAGGCCCGCGGCUGCAGUCCGCGUUCAUGCAGGUUCGAGUCCUGUCUGCACCU